AGUGAACGCUGGCGGUAGGCCUAACACAUGCAAGUCGAACGGCAGCACAGUAGGAGCUUGCUCUUACGGGUGGCGAGUGGCGGACGGGUGAGGAAUACAUCGGAAUCUACUUUUUCGUGGGGGAUAACGUAGGGAAACUUACGCUAAUACCGCAUACGACCUACGGGUGAAAGCAGGGGAUCUUCGGACCUUGCGCGAUUGAAUGAGCCGAUGUCGGAUUAGCUAGUUGGCGGGGUAAAGGCCCACCAAGGCGACGAUCCGUAGCUGGUCUGAGAGGAUGAGCAGGCACACUGGAACUUAGACACGGUCCAGACUCCUACGGGAGGCAGCAGUGGGGAAUAUUGGACAAUGGGCGCAAGCCUGAUCCAGCCAUACCGCGUGGGUGAAGAAGGCCUUCGGGUUGUAAAGCCCUUUUGUUGGGAAAGAAAAGCAGCAGGUUAAUACCCCGCUGUUCUGACGGUACCCAAAGAAUAAGCACCGGCUAACUUCGUG
This 492-nucleotide ribosomal RNA is filed under the name uncultured bacterium. RNAcentral's name for it is "partial 16S ribosomal RNA". It matches the Rfam family "Bacterial small subunit ribosomal RNA", at positions 29 to 507 of the family's 1533-position model. The record is from RNAcentral.